RNAcentral lists this ribosomal RNA (441 nucleotides) under uncultured bacterium. RNAcentral's name for it is "partial 16S ribosomal RNA". It matches the Rfam family "Bacterial small subunit ribosomal RNA", at positions 338 to 795 of the family's 1533-position model. The record is from RNAcentral.
CCUACGGGGGGCAGCAGUGGGGAAUAUUGCACAAUGGGGGAAACCCUGAUGCAGCAACGCCGCGUGAGUGAAGAAGGCUUUCGGUUUGUAAAGCUCUAUCCGCAGGGAAGAAGCAAGACGGUGCCUGACUAAGAUGCCCCGGCUAACUACGUGCCAGCAGCCGCGGUAAUACGUAGGGGGCAAGCGUUAUCCGGAUUUACUGGGUGGAAAGGGAGCGUAGACGGGUGUGCAAGUCUGAAGUGAAAGCCCGGGGCUCAACCGCGGAACUGCUUUGGAAACUGUAUAGCUUGAGUACUGGAGAGGCAGACGGAAUUCCUAGUGUAGCGGUGAAAUGCGUAGAUAUUAGGAGGAACACCAGUGGCGAAGGCGGCCUGCUGGACAGAAACUGACGUUGAGGCGCGAAAGCGUGGGGAGCAAACAGGAUUAGAUACCCUGGUAGUC